This 1350-nucleotide ribosomal RNA is filed under the name Janthinobacterium sp. BJB303. RNAcentral's name for it is "bacterial LSU rRNA". It matches the Rfam family "Bacterial large subunit ribosomal RNA", at positions 1584 to 2925 of the family's 2925-position model. Lineage: Bacteria; Pseudomonadati; Pseudomonadota; Betaproteobacteria; Burkholderiales; Oxalobacteraceae. The record is from RNAcentral.
CACGAAGCAAUCGGAAGUGGUUCCAAGAAAAGCCUCUAAGCUUCAGUCAUACGAGACCGUACCGCAAACCGACACAGGUGGGCGAGAUGAGUAUUCUAAGGCGCUUGAGAGAACUCGGGAGAAGGAACUCGGCAAAUUGGUACCGUAACUUCGGGAAAAGGUACGCCCCGGUAGCUUGACCACUUUACUGUGGAAGGGUGAAAGGGUUGCAAUAAACUGGUGGCUGCGACUGUUUAAUAAAAACACAGCACUCUGCAAACACGAAAGUGGACGUAUAGGGUGUGACGCCUGCCCGGUGCUGGAAGAUUAAAUGAUGGGGUGCAAGCUCUUGAUUGAAGUCCCAGUAAACGGCGGCCGUAACUAUAACGGUCCUAAGGUAGCGAAAUUCCUUGUCGGGUAAGUUCCGACCUGCACGAAUGGCGUAACGAUGGCCACACUGUCUCCUCCCGAGACUCAGCGAAGUUGAAAUGUUUGUGAUGAUGCAAUCUACCCGCGGCUAGACGGAAAGACCCCAUGAACCUUUACUGUAGCUUUGCAUUGGACUUUGAACCAAUCUGUGUAGGAUAGGUGGGAGGCUUUGAAGCGGGGACGCUAGUUCUCGUGGAGCCAACCUUGAAAUACCACCCUGGUUUGUUUGAGGUUCUAACCUUGGUCCGUUAUCCGGAUCGGGGACAGUGCAUGGUAGGCAGUUUGACUGGGGCGGUCUCCUCCUAAAGUGUAACGGAGGAGUUCGAAGGUACGCUAGAUACGGUCGGACAUCGUGUUGAUAGUGCAAUGGCAUAAGCGUGCUUAACUGCGAGACUGACAAGUCGAGCAGGUACGAAAGUAGGACAUAGUGAUCCGGUGGUUCUGUAUGGAAGGGCCAUCGCUCAACGGAUAAAAGGUACUCUGGGGAUAACAGGCUGAUUCCUCCCAAGAGUUCAUAUCGACGGGGGAGUUUGGCACCUCGAUGUCGGCUCAUCACAUCCUGGGGCUGUAGCCGGUCCCAAGGGUAUGGCUGUUCGCCAUUUAAAGUGGUACGUGAGCUGGGUUUAAAACGUCGUGAGACAGUUUGGUCCCUAUCUGCCGUGGGCGUUGGAAAUUUGAAGGGGGCUGCUCCUAGUACGAGAGGACCGGAGUGGACGAACCUCUGGUGUACCGGUUGUCACGCCAGUGGCAUUGCCGGGUAGCUAAGUUCGGAAGAGAUAACCGCUGAAAGCAUCUAAGCGGGAAACUUGCCUUGAGAUGAGAUUUCCCAGAGCCUUGAGCUCUUUGAAGGGUCGUUCGAGACCAGGACGUUGAUAGGCUGGGUGUGGAAGUGCAGUAAUGCAUUAAGCUAACCAGUACUAAUUGCCCGUACGGCUUGUCCCU